This 632-nucleotide ribosomal RNA is filed under the name Bacillus cereus. RNAcentral's name for it is "bacterial SSU rRNA". It matches the Rfam family "Bacterial small subunit ribosomal RNA", at positions 89 to 706 of the family's 1533-position model. Lineage: Bacteria; Bacillati; Bacillota; Bacilli; Caryophanales; Bacillaceae. The record is from RNAcentral.
AAGUUAGCGGCGGACGGGUGAGUAACACGUGGGUAACCUGCCCAUAAGACUGGGAUAACUCCGGGAAACCGGGGCUAAUACCGGAUAACAUUUUGAACCGCAUGGUUCGAAAUUGAAAGGCGGCUUCGGCUGUCACUUAUGGAUGGACCCGCGUCGCAUUAGCUAGUUGGUGAGGUAACGGCUCACCAAGGCAACGAUGCGUAGCCGACCUGAGAGGGUGAUCGGCCACACUGGGACUGAGACACGGCCCAGACUCCUACGGGAGGCAGCAGUAGGGAAUCUUCCGCAAUGGACGAAAGUCUGACGGAGCAACGCCGCGUGAGUGAUGAAGGCUUUCGGGUCGUAAAACUCUGUUGUUAGGGAAGAACAAGUGCUAGUUGAAUAAGCUGGCACCUUGACGGUACCUAACCAGAAAGCCACGGCUAACUACGUGCCAGCAGCCGCGGUAAUACGUAGGUGGCAAGCGUUAUCCGGAAUUAUUGGGCGUAAAGCGCGCGCAGGUGGUUUCUUAAGUCUGAUGUGAAAGCCCACGGCUCAACCGUGGAGGGUCAUUGGAAACUGGGAGACUUGAGUGCAGAAGAGGAAAGUGGAAUUCCAUGUGUAGCGGUGAAAUGCGUAGAGAUAUGGAGGAA